AACGGUCUAUACCUGCGGUACCUGCGGAAGGAUCAUUACUGGACAUAUUGUUCGUAUACGCCGGUUGGUGUAUAGUGGUGGUGUUUGCACACCCUCACUCGCACUAGCCUGCAGUCAAACAACACACACUUUUAUACUGAAAUGACUGAAUCUCUUAUUAAAAGAUACAACUUUCAACAACGGAUCUCU
This 189-nucleotide unclassified non-coding RNA is filed under the name soil metagenome. RNAcentral's name for it is "partial contains 5.8S ribosomal RNA, internal transcribed spacer 2, and large subunit ribosomal RNA". The record is from RNAcentral.